This is a long non-coding RNA of Chelonia mydas (Green sea turtle), 574 nucleotides long. RefSeq lists it as uncharacterized. The transcript is spliced from 4 exons. The record is from RefSeq and is a predicted model, not a curated record. NCBI's taxonomy places the organism in Eukaryota, Metazoa, Chordata, Testudines, Cheloniidae.
GUGCCAUGUCUAUCUCUCACAGCAGAGCUGUUUUUCUUUAACUGAAAUUAUUCACUGAAUUGCUACCUUUUUGCUUGUAAUCUGGCUUGUAUCAUUCUGCCUUAUAGCAAGUUAAGAUGAAAUUCAGAUAAAAUAUGAACUUUGUAUUUAACAAUGUGAUUACAAUCUCCAGGUACCAUGCCACGAAGCUUCUUCAACCUUUAAUUUUACCUAAUCUGAUUUAAUUUAGCCAAAAUGGAUAACAGCAAAGAGAGCAUCUUGAAAAAGAGGAGGACCCCUACACAAAAAAUGAAGCUCUCAACAGCUCUCUCUCCGCCAGCUGAGGAAGAUCUUCAAUGACUGAUUCACUUCAACAUAUCUUCAUACAAGUUCCACACAGAUAAAAAAUGACUGCUAACAAUAACAUCAAAAUAUCAGUACUUUGAUCUGUGAAAUCUGUUGAGCCCUAGUAGAUCAUUAAUUAGGAUGGUGAGUUACUAAAUUAGCAUCAGUCUGGAUACAGAAGAUGGUUUUCAACAGAACAAAGAACAGCCACCAGGUUGAUGGAGUUUUGGUUUUAAGAGCAAGAGGGGAA